This 770-nucleotide ribosomal RNA is filed under the name Staphylococcus epidermidis. RNAcentral describes it as "bacterial SSU rRNA". It matches the Rfam family "Bacterial small subunit ribosomal RNA", at positions 59 to 812 of the family's 1533-position model. The record is from RNAcentral. Lineage: Bacteria; Bacillati; Bacillota; Bacilli; Caryophanales; Staphylococcaceae.
CAGUCGAGCGAACAGACGAGGAGCUUGCUCCUCUGACGUUAGCGGCGGACGGGUGAGUAACACGUGGAUAACCUACCUAUAAGACUGGGAUAACUUCGGGAAACCGGAGCUAAUACCGGAUAAUAUAUUGAACCGCAUGGUUCAAUAGUGAAAGACGGUUUUGCUGUCACUUAUAGAUGGAUCCGCGCCGCAUUAGCUAGUUGGUAAGGUAACGGCUUACCAAGGCAACGAUGCGUAGCCGACCUGAGAGGGUGAUCGGCCACACUGGAACUGAGACACGGUCCAGACUCCUACGGGAGGCAGCAGUAGGGAAUCUUCCGCAAUGGGCGAAAGCCUGACGGAGCAACGCCGCGUGAGUGAUGAAGGUCUUCGGAUCGUAAAACUCUGUUAUUAGGGAAGAACAAAUGUGUAAGUAACUAUGCACGUCUUGACGGUACCUAAUCAGAAAGCCACGGCUAACUACGUGCCAGCAGCCGCGGUAAUACGUAGGUGGCAAGCGUUAUCCGGAAUUAUUGGGCGUAAAGCGCGCGUAGGCGGUUUUUUAAGUCUGAUGUGAAAGCCCACGGCUCAACCGUGGAGGGUCAUUGGAAACUGGAAAACUUGAGUGCAGAAGAGGAAAGUGGAAUUCCAUGUGUAGCGGUGAAAUGCGCAGAGAUAUGGAGGAACACCAGUGGCGAAAGGCGACUUUCUGGUCUGUAACUGACGCUGAUGUGCGAAAGCGUGGGGAUCAACAGGAUUAGAUACCCUGGUAGUCCACGCCGUAACGAUGA